RNAcentral lists this ribosomal RNA (395 nucleotides) under uncultured bacterium. Its description in RNAcentral is "bacterial SSU rRNA". It matches the Rfam family "Bacterial small subunit ribosomal RNA", at positions 355 to 769 of the family's 1533-position model. The record is from RNAcentral.
UGGGGAAUAUUGCACAAUGGGCGAAAGCCUGAUGCAGCAACGCCGCGUGAAGGAAGAAGGCCUUUGGGUCGUAAACUUCUGUCCUUGGGGAGAUAAUGACGGUACCCUUGGAGGAAGCCCCGGCUAACUACGUGCCAGCAGCCGCGGUAAUACGUAGGGGGCAAGCGUUAUCCGGAAUUAUUGGGCGUAAAGAGUACGUAGGUGGUUUCCUAAGCACAGGGUUUAAGGCUAAGGCUCAACCAUAGUUCGCCCUGUGAACUGGGAGACUUGAGUGCAGGAGAGGAAAGCGGAAUUCCUAGUGUAGCGGUGAAAUGCGUAGAUAUUAGGAGGAACACCAGUGGCGAAGGCGGCUUUCUGGACUGUAACUGACACUGAGGUACGAAAGCGUGGGGAGC